Felis catus (domestic cat) is the source of this 82-nucleotide transfer RNA. It matches the Rfam family "tRNA". Rfam says of the family: Transfer RNA (tRNA) molecules are approximately 80 nucleotides in length. Their secondary structure includes four short double-helical elements and three loops (D, anti-codon, and T loops). NCBI's taxonomy places the organism in Eukaryota, Metazoa, Chordata, Mammalia, Carnivora, Felidae. The record is from Rfam.
GCCUGGAUGGCUCAGUUGGUUGAGCAACUGACUCUGGCUCAGGUUGAUUCAUGGUUUUUGGGUUCAAGUCCCAUGUCAGGCU